CAGCCCCUCGAGUGGUGGGGAUGAUUAUUUGGCCUAAAGCGUUCGUAGCCGGUUAUGAAAGUCCUUCGUUAAAUCUAACGUCUCAAGCGUUAGCUUGCGAAGGAUACUACGUAACUAGAGGGUGGGAGAGGUCGGCGGUAUUCUGGGGGUAGGGGCGAAAUCCUUUGAUCCCCGGAGGACCACCAGUGGCGAAGGCUGCUGACUAAAACACGCCUGACGGUCAGGGACGAAAGCUGGGGUAGCGAACCGGAUUAGAUACCCGAGUAGUCC
RNAcentral lists this ribosomal RNA (270 nucleotides) under uncultured archaeon. RNAcentral describes it as "partial 16S ribosomal RNA". It matches the Rfam family "Archaeal small subunit ribosomal RNA", at positions 477 to 747 of the family's 1478-position model. The record is from RNAcentral.